UCGGAUGAAGGCUUUUGUGACUGAGCGGCGGACGGGUGAGUAACGCGUGGGCAACCUGCCUUACACAGGGGGAUAACAGUUAGAAAUGACUGCUAAUACCGCAUAAGACCACAAAACUGCAUGGUUUUGUGGUAAAAACUCCGGUGGUGUAAGAUGGGCCCGCGUCUGAUUAGGUAGUUGGUGGGGUAACGGCUCACCAAGCCGACGAUCAGUAGCCGACCUGAGAGGGUGACCGGCCACAUUGGGACUGAGACACGGCCCAGACUCCUACGGGAGGCAGCAGUGGGGAAUAUUGCACAAUGGGGGAAACCCUGAUGCAGCGACGCCGCGUGAGCGAUGAAGUAUUUCGGUAUGUAAAGCUCUAUCAGCAGGGAAGAAAAUGACGGUACCUGACUAAGAAGCCCCGGCUAACUACGUGCCAGCAGCCGCGGUAAUACGUAGGGGGCAAGCGUUAUCCGGAUUUACUGGGUGUAAAGGGAGCGUAGACGGCUCUGCAAGCCAGAUGUGAAAGCCCGGGGCUCAACCCCGGGACUGCAUUUGGAACUGUGUGGCUAGAGUGUCGGAGAGGCAGGCGGAAUUCCUAGUGUAGCGGUGAAAUGCG
RNAcentral lists this ribosomal RNA (601 nucleotides) under uncultured bacterium. RNAcentral describes it as "bacterial SSU rRNA". It matches the Rfam family "Bacterial small subunit ribosomal RNA", at positions 72 to 690 of the family's 1533-position model. The record is from RNAcentral.